Molecule: ribosomal RNA, 270 nt
Filed under: uncultured archaeon
Lineage: Archaea
Description: partial 16S ribosomal RNA
Rfam family: Archaeal small subunit ribosomal RNA
Source: RNAcentral
CAGCACCUCAAGUGGUCAGGAUGAUUAUUGGGCCUAAAGCAUCCGUAGCCGGCGCUGUAAGUUUUCGGUUAAAUCUGUACGCUCAACGUACAGGCUGCCGGGAAUACUGCAGCGCUAGGGAGUGGGAGAGGUAGACGGUACUCGGUAGGGAGGGGUAAAAUCCUUUGAUCUAUUGAUGACCACCUGUGGCGAAGGCGGUCUACCAGAACACGUCCGACGGUGAGGGAUGAAAGCUGGGGGAGCAAACCGGAUUAGAUACCCGUGUAGUCC